This 1411-nucleotide ribosomal RNA is filed under the name Klebsiella pneumoniae. Its description in RNAcentral is "bacterial SSU rRNA". It matches the Rfam family "Bacterial small subunit ribosomal RNA". Lineage: Bacteria; Pseudomonadati; Pseudomonadota; Gammaproteobacteria; Enterobacterales; Enterobacteriaceae. The record is from RNAcentral.
AGUCGAGCGGUAGCACAGAGAGCUUGCUCUCGGGUGACGAGCGGCGGACGGGUGAGUAAUGUCUGGGAAACUGCCUGAUGGAGGGGGAUAACUACUGGAAACGGUAGCUAAUACCGCAUAAUGUCGCAAGACCAAAGUGGGGGACCUUCGGGCCUCAUGCCAUCAGAUGUGCCCAGAUGGGAUUAGCUAGUAGGUGGGGUAACGGCUCACCUAGGCGACGAUCCCUAGCUGGUCUGAGAGGAUGACCAGCCACACUGGAACUGAGACACGGUCCAGACUCCUACGGGAGGCAGCAGUGGGGAAUAUUGCACAAUGGGCGCAAGCCUGAUGCAGCCAUGCCGCGUGUGUGAAGAAGGCCUUCGGGUUGUAAAGCACUUUCAGCGGGGAGGAAGGCGUUAAGGUUAAUAACCUUGUCGAUUGACGUUACCCGCAGAAGAAGCACCGGCUAACUCCGUGCCAGCAGCCGCGGUAAUACGGAGGGUGCAAGCGUUAAUCGGAAUUACUGGGCGUAAAGCGCACGCAGGCGGUCUGUCAAGUCGGAUGUGAAAUCCCCGGGCUCAACCUGGGAACUGCAUUCGAAACUGGCAGGCUAGAGUCUUGUAGAGGGGGGUAGAAUUCCAGGUGUAGCGGUGAAAUGCGUAGAGAUCUGGAGGAAUACCGGUGGCGAAGGCGGCCCCCUGGACAAAGACUGACGCUCAGGUGCGAAAGCGUGGGGAGCAAACAGGAUUAGAUACCCUGGUAGUCCACGCCGUAAACGAUGUCGAUUUGGAGGUUGUGCCCUUGAGGCGUGGCUUCCGGAGCUAACGCGUUAAAUCGACCGCCUGGGGAGUACGGCCGCAAGGUUAAAACUCAAUGAAUUGACGGGGGCCCGCACAAGCGGUGGAGCAUGUGGUUUAAUUCGAUGCAACGCGAAGAACCUUACCUGGUCUUGACAUCCACAGAACUUUCCAGAGAUGGAUUGGUGCCUUCGGGAACUGUGAGACAGGUGCUGCAUGGCUGUCGUCAGCUCGUGUUGUGAAAUGUUGGGUUAAGUCCCGCAACGAGCGCAACCCUUAUCCUUUGUUGCCAGCGGUUAGGCCGGGAACUCAAAGGAGACUGCCAGUGAUAAACUGGAGGAAGGUGGGGAUGACGUCAAGUCAUCAUGGCCCUUACGACCAGGGCUACACACGUGCUACAAUGGCAUAUACAAAGAGAAGCGACCUCGCGAGAGCAAGCGGACCUCAUAAAGUAUGUCGUAGUCCGGAUUGGAGUCUGCAACUCGACUCCAUGAAGUCGGAAUCGCUAGUAAUCGUAGAUCAGAAUGCUACGGUGAAUACGUUCCCGGGCCUUGUACACACCGCCCGUCACACCAUGGGAGUGGGUUGCAAAAGAAGUAGGUAGCUUAACCUUCGGGAGGGCGCUACCACUUGAU